Molecule: unclassified non-coding RNA, 329 nt
Filed under: Coprinopsis strossmayeri
Lineage: Eukaryota; Fungi; Basidiomycota; Agaricomycetes; Agaricales; Psathyrellaceae
Description: partial internal transcribed spacer region
Rfam family: Eukaryotic small subunit ribosomal RNA (bases 1-46)
Source: RNAcentral
AAGUCGUAACAAGGUUUCCGUAGGUGAACCUGCGGAAGGAUCAUUAUUGAAUAAAUCUGACGUUGGUUGUAGCUGGCUCUACCCGAGCAUGUGCACGCCCCGUCACCUUUAUCUUUCCACCUGUGCACACACUGUAGAUCUGGAUACCUCUCGUCGAAAGGCGGAUGCGAGGCUUGCUGUGCCCUUCCCAAAGGGUCGGCUUGCUUCGAAUUUCCAGGUCUAUGAUUCAUACCCCUUUACGUACCCCAAACGAAUGUUAAGGAAUGUAAUCAUAAGGCCCUAGUGCCUAUAAACCUAUACAACUUUCAGCAACGGAUCUCUUGGCUCUC